Malania oleifera is the source of this 1122-nucleotide long non-coding RNA. RefSeq lists it as uncharacterized. The transcript has 2 exons. NCBI's taxonomy places the organism in Eukaryota, Viridiplantae, Streptophyta, Magnoliopsida, Santalales, Ximeniaceae. The record is from RefSeq and is a predicted model, not a curated record.
UGAUGCUCCUUUGCAAAAUGCUUGAAAACCACCUCCUAGAAGAUUCACAAGCAUAGACAUUUUUUCUUGACUGAAUUGAAAGUUGGAGUACCCAAAAUUCAAAGUGCAUGUCUUAUCUGUUUAAAUGCAAGUAGUAGAUCCCAUCGUCUCACAUGCGGAUAGAUGCCUCACAAGAGCCUUAUCAUUCAUUAAUUUUCUCUUUGCAAAAGGCUCUGCUUAAUGUUAUUGCAAGUGGUAGCCCUUCUGGAAUAGCAACUACGAUAAUGGUAACUACAGUAAUAAUAAUAAAUAAAUAAAUAACCGAGAAUCGCCAUAGAUCAUAAACAAGAGGAGUGGUGAUGAGAUCUCCUGAAGCCACGACGAGAACGGGGCGAUGAGAAGCGAAAGAUCGACACCACGAUCAGCUCCCGAUCUGUCGAUUUGUACACUCACAAGCAACUCCUGAUCUGCCGCACCAGCUCAAAGCCCCUGAAACUCAGCCCUGUUUCUCGGCAAACAGAGGCCGAGCGAAUCGCUUUGUAGGCAGAGUCCGACGCCUGACGAGGCUUCGACACCAGAUUUUCUGAAGUUCUGUUUAGGCUGUGGAGGAAUCAGAUACGGAUUAAAAUGGCAAUGAAAUUUAAGUCCAGCGUGGCGACUCUCGAAGACAAGAAUAUGGAGAACCUCCGCAGUCUCUUCUCCUGCUACAGCGACCUCGAAGAAGCGGUCGUGUUCCUUGGCAAGGUCAUCGGGGAAAAUAAAGGGUACGUCAAGAACAUCAACGGCGCCUUGCUCAAAGUAAAGAAGCCAAGUAAGAAAAUUGACGGAUGAAUAACCAGACCCAGGUUGGUGUAUUGGAAAAUUCCGGAUGUAAUGCAAAUCUAUCACAAUUGAUGCUUCUAUACACAAGAUUAAUGUAGUCAACGCGCCUAUUUUCAAGGUUCUUCUGGAGACCGGGUUUGAAGGCCUAGGCUAGGACUGUUUUUGUUCGUUUCUUUUUAGGGUAUUGUGAGAUACAGAUAUAUGUAUAGAUAUAUUUGUACGUGAUUAUGUUUUAAAUACUGGUUGUGGAGAUAGAUAUUUGGAUGUUGUAGUAUUCGUUUUUGGGUUGUUAUAUAAAACUAUGGUAUUUAUUUGAGGUUA